GACGAACGCUGGCGGCGUGCUUAACACAUGCAAGUCGAACGAUGACGACCGAGCUUGCUCGGUCUGAUUAGUGGCGAACGGGUGAGUAACACGUGAGCAACCUGCCCUUCACUCUGGGAUAACCUCGGGAAAUCGGGGCUAAUACCGGAUAUGAGCUCCUGUCGCAUGGCGGGUGCUGGAAAGUUUUUCGGUGAAGGAUGGGCUCGCGGCCUAUCAGUUUGUUGGUGAGGUAGUGGCUCACCAAGGCGAUGACGGGUAGCCGGCCUGAGAGGGCGACCGGCCACACUGGGACUGAGACACGGCCCAGACUCCUACGGGAGGCAGCAGUGGGGAAUAUUACACAAUGGGCGAAAGCCUGAUGCAGCGACGCCGCGUGAGGGAUGACGGCCUUCGGGUUGUAAACCUCUUUCAGCAGGGAAGAAGCGAAAGUGACGGUACCUGCAGAAGAAGCGCCGGCUAACUACGUG
This 467-nucleotide ribosomal RNA is filed under the name uncultured bacterium. RNAcentral describes it as "partial 16S ribosomal RNA". It matches the Rfam family "Bacterial small subunit ribosomal RNA", at positions 28 to 507 of the family's 1533-position model. The record is from RNAcentral.